This 462-nucleotide ribosomal RNA is filed under the name uncultured bacterium. RNAcentral describes it as "partial 16S ribosomal RNA". It matches the Rfam family "Bacterial small subunit ribosomal RNA", at positions 28 to 507 of the family's 1533-position model. The record is from RNAcentral.
GACGAACGCUGGCGGCGUGCUUAACACAUGCAAGUCGAGCGGUAAGGCCUUUCGGGGUACACGAGCGGCGAACGGGUGAGUAACACGUGGGUGAUCUGCCCUGCACUUCGGGAUAAGCCUGGGAAACUGGGUCUAAUACCGGAUAUGACCUCCUAUCGCAUGGUGGGUGGUGGAAUGAUUUAUCGGUGCAGGAUGGGCCCGCGGCCUAUCAGCUUGUUGGUGGGGUAAUGGCCUACCAAGGCGACGACGGGUAGCCGACCUGAGAGGGUGACCGGCCACACUGGGACUGAGACACGGCCCAGACUCCUACGGGAGGCAGCAGUGGGGAAUAUUGCACAAUGGGCGAAAGCCUGAUGCAGCGACGCCGCGUGAGGGAUGACGGCCUUCGGGUUGUAAACCUCUUUCAGCAGGGACGAAGCGCAAGUGACGGUACCUGCAGAAGAAGCACCGGCUAACUACGUG